Molecule: small RNA, 132 nt
Filed under: Klebsiella pneumoniae
Lineage: Bacteria; Pseudomonadati; Pseudomonadota; Gammaproteobacteria; Enterobacterales; Enterobacteriaceae
Description: RtT sRNA
Rfam family: RtT RNA
About the family: This family represents a bacterial cis-regulatory element known as RtT RNA. The exact function of RtT is unknown although it is thought that it may be involved in changing the cellular response in relation to amino acid starvation.
Source: RNAcentral
UAUUCUGCCCCACGGGGAAGGAUGAGAAGCUUCGACUAAGGUUCGACUCGAGCGAAGCGAGAGAACGUUGCCGCAGGCAACGGCCCGAAGGGCGAAGCGCUUUAGCGCCGAGUAAUCCUUCCCCCACCACCA